AGGAGAGUUGAAAGGAAAACAUAAACAAAGGUAGUGCAUAGAAGAUAGGUGGUCGAGAUAAGAGGAAUAAAGUGGAAGAAAAUUGAAUUAGUUACCAUUUGCGAAAUUUGAUGAUAGGGCAGUUUAAGGAAAGUAACUUGAAAUAGAAUAGUUCCGCGGGUGAUUUGUUAGUGGAUUCUUGAAUUCGGAUCAGAUUUGGUCAGAUGAUCACAAACUAAUACAGUAAGUAGGAAAGUUUAUAUGCGUUUUAGAGCGGAAAGUAACAAAAAUAUUUCGUUGUAUUUCCAAGCCGCGGAGUAAAAUUUAGUGGUUGAUGAGCUGGAGGCCCGACGGGAAGAGACAGUUUAGACAACAGACUUGAGAAACCAGAUAUCGACGCACGACGAGGACGAGACUUUGCACAGUGGUCCAAAUCGGAGUAUUUCGAGGACAAAAUUCGUGGCUACGUUGCCUGCAAAGGAAGGUAGAAGGGAAGCCAAUAGAGGAGAAAAUCAAACUAAAAUUGUAAGUGAAUUCAUACUAAACAAGUUGUAUUAUCAUUGACGAAAAUGUCAAAUUUAUUACUUACAGUUUGAUCUGCCACAAUAAAAGGCCGAUUCACAAAAAUUGUUUGCGCCGAAUUUGAU
Molecule: long non-coding RNA, 626 nt
Organism: Aedes albopictus (Asian tiger mosquito)
Lineage: Eukaryota; Metazoa; Arthropoda; Insecta; Diptera; Culicidae
Exons: 3
Source: RefSeq, a predicted model, not a curated record